Molecule: ribosomal RNA, 456 nt
Filed under: uncultured Leptolinea sp.
Lineage: Bacteria; Bacillati; Chloroflexota; Anaerolineae; Anaerolineales; Anaerolineaceae
Description: bacterial SSU rRNA
Rfam family: Bacterial small subunit ribosomal RNA
Source: RNAcentral
UGACGGGCCCGCACAAGCAGCGGAGCGUGUGGUUUAAUUCGAUGUUACACGAAGAACCUUACCAGGGUUUGACAUGCAAGUGGUAGGAAGCCGAAAGGUGACCGACCCUUCGGGGAGCUUGCACAGGUGCUGCAUGGCUGUCGUCAGCUCGUGUCGUGAGAUGUUCGGUUAAGUCCGCUAACGAGCGCAACCCUCGCUGUGUGUUAUAUGUGUCACACGGGACUGCCGGUCUUAAGCCGGAGGAAGGUGGGGAUGAUGUCAAGUCAGCAUGGCCUUUAUAUCCUGGGCUACACACACGCUACAAUGGCCAACACAAUAGGUUGCUAAGCCGCGAGGUGGCGCCAAUCCAUAAAGUUGGUCUCAGUUCAGAUUGUAGGCUGCAACCCGCCUGCAUGAAGAUGGAGUUGCUAGUAACCGCAGGUCAGCUAUACUGCGGUGAAUACGUUCCCGGGGCUU